CAGUCGCCGCGGGAAUACGUAGGGUGCAAGCGUUAAUCGGAAUUACUGGGCGUAAAGCGUGCGCAGGCGGUUAUAUAAGACAGAUGUGAAAUCCCCGGGCUCAACCUGGGAACUGCAUUUGUGACUGUAUAGCUAGAGUACGGCAGAGGGGGAUGGAAUUCCGCGUGUAGCAGUGAAAUGCGUAGAUAUGCGGAGGAACACCGAUGGCGAAGGCAAUCCCCUGGGCCUGUACUGACGCUCAUGCACGAAAGCGUGGGGAGCAAACAGGAUUAGAUACCCCCGUAGUCCCUGUCUUUAUACA
RNAcentral lists this ribosomal RNA (301 nucleotides) under uncultured bacterium. RNAcentral's name for it is "partial 16S ribosomal RNA". It matches the Rfam family "Bacterial small subunit ribosomal RNA", at positions 509 to 809 of the family's 1533-position model. The record is from RNAcentral.